RNAcentral lists this transfer RNA (68 nucleotides) under Cnemaspis peninsularis. RNAcentral's name for it is "partial tRNA-Ala". The record is from RNAcentral. Lineage: Eukaryota; Metazoa; Chordata; Lepidosauria; Squamata; Gekkonidae.
GUUUUUAGGCUUAAUUAAAGUGUCUGAGUUGCAGUCAGGUGAUGCAAGUUAGAGUUUUGCAGGCCUUC